Molecule: ribosomal RNA, 460 nt
Filed under: uncultured bacterium
Lineage: Bacteria
Description: partial 16S ribosomal RNA
Rfam family: Bacterial small subunit ribosomal RNA
Source: RNAcentral
CCUACGGGGGGCAGCAGUGAGGAAUAUUGGUCAAUGGACGAGAGUCUGAACCAGCCAAGUAGCGUGAAGGAUGACUGCCCUAUGGGUUGUAAACUUCUUUUAUAUGGGAAUAAAAUGUUCCACGUGUGGGAUUUUGUAUGUACCAUAUGAAUAAGGAUCGGCUAACUCCGUGCCAGCAGCCGCGGUAAUACGGAGGAUCCGAGCGUUAUCCGGAUUUAUUGGGUUUAAAGGGAGCGUAGGUGGAUUGUUAAGUCAGUUGUGAAAGUUUGCGGCUCAACCGUAAAAUUGCAGUUGAAACUGGCAGUCUUGAGUACAGUAGCGGUGGGCGGAAUUCGUGGUGUAGCGGUGAAAUGCUUAGAUAUCACGAAGAACUCCGAUUGCGAAGGCAGUUCACUGGACUGCAACUGACACUGAGGCUCGAAAGUGUGGGUAUCAAACAGGAUUAGAUACCCGAGUAGUC